AAGACCAAGAUGAAAAUUUUUUACAAAAAAACUAUGGAUCAGUAAUAUUCCAGCCAAAAUUAAGAUUUACAUUUGGAAAAUUUCCUGGAAUUUCAUUCCUAAUCUAGCUAUUUUAUCCACAAAAAGAAUGGCGAUGGAGACUGCGUACCUAAGAUGUGUAGGGGCUACUGAAAAUGUUGAUCACCUUUUGCGAGGCUGUCCUAUUACACGAGAAGUCUAGGUAAGUUUAAAUCUUGAUUGGGUAUUAACAGGAAUAAAUAUGAAUUGCUAGGAAUGGCUUAGCUGGGUGUUUAAAAGCUAUACUGGGUCGCAAUGUUGUUUAUUCUGCUGCUCCUUGUGGGAGAUCUGGACUAACAGAAAUAAGUGGUUAUUUGAGGGGAAGAGAAAUAGGGGUUGUGAUAUUACUGCAUGGGUCUUAAGGUAUGCUAAGAAAAUAGACGAGUGUGAGACUAGUAAAUUGACCAAGGAAACCGUGACUAUGGAAUGGUGCCCUCGAAUAGGUCCGAUAUUAAAUUGAAUUUUGACACGGCAUUUGACUAGGCACAGGCUAAAUCGGCUUCAGGGUUAGUUGCAAGAAAUGCUUCUAGAGAGAUUCUCGCCUCUAAAACUGUGGUACACAGGGCUAUUGCUUCUCCUUUCGCAGUAGAGGCACAUGCGUGUCUCCAAAUAGUUUUAUUGGGGAAAUAAAAGGGAUUUACAUUAGAUCGAAGGGGAUUCAGCUUCAGUUAUAAAGAGAAGUAAGUCAGAUCUGGUAGAUAGAUCGAUGAUAAGGGCUUUAAUAAGGAACUUACAAUGUUAAAAACUAUUCUUCCAUCAGAUAUUAUUUAAACACAUUCCUAGAUCAGCAAAUAUAAUGGCUCAUGAACUAGCCAGAGAAGCGAUGAGAAAUGGGUCACGGACUUACCUUCUCGGAGGACUGCUUGAGCAAAAUGCAACAGAAGAUGGAUCGUGCAGAAGGAGAGAACCAGAUUGAAGAUUGACUGAUGAAGGCGUUUGGGUUUUGGGAAGAGAUAAAUGAAGUAAAUGAUGGUCUACUGGUUUUUGGAAACUACUUCUUGGGGACUGGAACCGUCAAUAAUAAUAAUGAUGACAUUUAUUGGGUGCCAGCUGUGAAUCAGACUGUGGUGUUUUCUUUAUUUUGUUUUGUUUUACUUCUGUUUUUGUUUUUUUUGGUAGGCUUAGUUCAAAGCCCGA
This 1194-nucleotide long non-coding RNA is filed under the name Gossypium barbadense (sea-island cotton). RNAcentral's name for it is "long non-coding RNA (GBAR_LNC000766)". Lineage: Eukaryota; Viridiplantae; Streptophyta; Magnoliopsida; Malvales; Malvaceae. The record is from RNAcentral.